Molecule: ribosomal RNA, 600 nt
Filed under: Haloterrigena sp. A4BC16
Lineage: Archaea; Methanobacteriati; Methanobacteriota; Halobacteria; Halobacteriales; Natrialbaceae
Description: bacterial SSU rRNA
Rfam family: Archaeal small subunit ribosomal RNA
Source: RNAcentral
AGAGCAAGAGCCCGGAGACGGUAUCUGAGACAAGAUACCGGGCCCUACGGGGCGCAGCAGGCGCGAAACCUUUACACUGCACGAAAGUGCGAUAAGGGGACUCCAAGUGCGAGGGCAUAUAGUCCUCGCUUUUUGCGACCGUAAGGUGGUCGCGGAAUAAGUGCUGGGCAAGACCGGUGCCAGCCGCCGCGGUAAUACCGGCAGCACGAGUGAUGACCGCUAUUAUUGGGCCUAAAGCGUCCGUAGCUGGCCAUGCAAGUCCAUCGGGAAAUCCGCGCGCUUAACGCGCGGGCGUCCGGUGGAAACUGCAUGGCUUGGGACCGGAAGACCAGAGGGGUACGUCCGGGGUAGGAGUGAAAUCCCGUAAUCCUGGACGGACCACCGGUGGCGAAAGCGCCUCUGGAAGACGGAUCCGACGGUGAGGGACGAAAGCUCGGGUCACGAACCGGAUUAGAUACCCGGGUAGUCCGAGCUGUAAACGAUGUCUGCUAGGUGUGGCACAGGCUACGAGCCUGUGCUGUGCCGCAGGGAAAGCCGUGAAGCAGACCGCCUGGGAAGUACGUCCGCAAGGAUGAAACUUAAAGGAAUUGGCGGGGGGAG